AGUCGAACGAUGAAGCCCUUCGGGGUGGAUUAGUGGCGAACGGGUGAGUAACACGUGGGCAAUCUGCCCUUCACUCUGGGACAAGCCCUGGAAACGGGGUCUAAUACCGGAUAAUACCUGCCUGGGCAUCUGGGUGGGUUAAAAGCUCCGGCGGUGAAGGAUGAGCCCGCGGCCUAUCAGCUUGUUGGUGAGGUAGUGGCUCACCAAGGCGACGACGGGUAGCCGGCCUGAGAGGGCGACCGGCCACACUGGGACUGAGACACGGCCCAGACUCCUACGGGAGGCAGCAGUGGGGAAUAUUGCACAAUGGGCGAAAGCCUGAUGCAGCGACGCCGCGUGAGGGAUGACGGCCUUCGGGUUGUAAACCUCUUUCAGCAGGGAAGAAGCGAAAGUGACGGUACCUGCAGAAGAAGCGCCGGCUAACUACGUGCCAGCAGCCGCGGUAAUACGUAGGGCGCAAGCGUUGUCCGGAAUUAUUGGGCGUAAAGAGCUCGUAGGCGGCUUGUCACGUCGGUUGUGAAAGCCCGGGGCUUAACCCCGGGUCUGCAGUCGAUACGGGCAGGCUAGAGUGUGGUAGGGGAGAUCGGAAUUCCCUGGUGUAGCGGUGAAAUGCGCAAAAUAUCAGGAGGAACACCGGUGGCGAAGGCGGAUCUCUGGGCCAUUACUGACGCUGAGGAGCGAAAGCGUGGGGAGCGAACAGGAUUAGAUACCCUGGUAGUCCACGCCGUAAACGGUGGGAACUAGGUGUUGGCGACAUUCCACGUCGUCGGUGCCGCAGCUAACGCAUUAAGUUCCCCGCCUGGGGAGUACGGCCGCAAGGCUAAAACUCAAAGGAAUUGACGGGGGCCCGCACAAGCAGCGGAGCAUGUGGCUUAAUUCGACGCAACGCGAAGAACCUUACCAAGGCUUGACAUCGCCCGGAAAGCAUCAGAGAUGGUGCCCCCCUUGUGGUCGGGUGACAGGUGGUGCAUGGCUGUCGUCAGCUCGUGUCGUGAGAUGUUGGGUUAAGUCCCGCAACGAGCGCAACCCUUGUUCUGUGUUGCCAGCAUGCCCUUCGGGGUGAUGGGGACUCACAGGAGACUGCCGGGGUCAACUCGGAGGAAGGUGGGGACGACGUCAAGUCAUCAUGCCCCUUAUGUCUUGGGCUGCACACGUGCUACAAUGGCAGGUACAAUGAGCUGCGAAGCCGCGAGGCGGAGCGAAUCUCAAAAAGCCUGUCUCAGUUCGGAUUGGGGUCUGCAACUCGACCCCAUGAAGUCGGAGUUGCUAGUAAUCGCAGAUCAGCAUUGCUGCGGUGAAUACGUUCCCGGGCCUUGUACACACCGCCCGUCACGUCACGAAAGUCGGUAACACCCGAAGCCGGUGGCCCAACCCCUUGUGGGAGGGAG
RNAcentral lists this ribosomal RNA (1388 nucleotides) under Streptomyces sp. ESM201. RNAcentral's name for it is "16S ribosomal RNA". It matches the Rfam family "Bacterial small subunit ribosomal RNA". The record is from RNAcentral. Lineage: Bacteria; Bacillati; Actinomycetota; Actinomycetes; Kitasatosporales; Streptomycetaceae.